Cymbomonas tetramitiformis is the source of this 72-nucleotide non-coding RNA. The record is from the annotation of a GenBank genome assembly. Lineage: Eukaryota; Viridiplantae; Chlorophyta; Pyramimonadophyceae; Pyramimonadales; Pyramimonadaceae.
GCCGAUAUAGCUCAGUGGAUAGAGCGCACGGCUAGUGACAGUGAGGUCUCGGGCUCGAACCCGGUCUCGGCA